CUGCUCAAUGUUUUUUAAAUUGCUGUGGUAUUUUGACUAUACAAAGGUAUUGAAAUAAGAUUUUAAUUGAAUGCUAAGAGAAUGGAAUUUCAGAAAAAAACUUUUUUCAAGUUAAAAAUUGAAAUUUUUUUAAUUUGUGCAGAAACAAUUAUUAAUAUUAAGGACAAGAAGACCCUAUGAAUUUAUAAAUUUUAUUUAAUAUGUAACUACUAUUAAAAAAAUUUUAGCUGGGGCGGCGGAAAAAUAUUUAAAACUUUUUUAAAAUAAAAUGACCCAUUAUUAAUGAUUAUAUGUUAAAUACUCUAGGGAUAACAGCGUAAA
RNAcentral lists this ribosomal RNA (321 nucleotides) under Rhipicephalus sanguineus (brown dog tick). Its description in RNAcentral is "partial 16S ribosomal RNA". Lineage: Eukaryota; Metazoa; Arthropoda; Arachnida; Ixodida; Ixodidae. The record is from RNAcentral.